RNAcentral lists this ribosomal RNA (1199 nucleotides) under Schistosoma mansoni. Its description in RNAcentral is "SSU rRNA". It matches the Rfam family "Eukaryotic small subunit ribosomal RNA", at positions 229 to 1324 of the family's 1831-position model. Lineage: Eukaryota; Metazoa; Platyhelminthes; Trematoda; Strigeidida; Schistosomatidae. The record is from RNAcentral.
GGCUUCGGCUGUGCCUGUUACAUUCUGUGAUGACUCUGGAUAACUUUACUGAUCGCAGUCGGCCUUGUGUCGGCGACGGAUCUUUCAAAUGUCUGCCCUAUCAAUUUGUUGGUAGGUGAUUUGCCUACCAUGAUGAUAACGGGUAACGGGGAAUCAGGGUUCGAUUCCGGAGAGGGAGCCUGAGAAAUGGCUACCACAUCCAAGGACGGCAGCAGGCGCGAAAAUUACCCACUCCCGGCACGGGGAGGUAGUGACGAAAAAUACGUAUACGGGACUCAAUUGAGGCUCCGUAAUUCGAAUGAGUACAAUUUAAAUCCUUUAACGAGGACCAAUUGGAGGGCAAGUCUGGUGCCAGCAGCCGCGGUAACUCCAGCUCCAAAAGCGUAUAUUAAAGUUGCUGCAGUUAAAAAGCUCGUAGUUGAAUCUGGGUCGUGCGGUCGCAUGCCGUUGCUUGUUCACGGUUUUGGUUACGAUCAGGACCAGUGUUCAGCUCGGUGUAGUGGCUGUGCAGCCUUUCAGCCGUGUCUGUGUUAAACGGGUGCUGGUGGGUUGACGAGUUCGUCUUGUUGACCUGUCGGCAUGCUUCCGGAUGCCUUUAAACGGGUGUCGGGAGCGGACGGCAUCUUUACUUUGAACAAAUUUGAGUGCUCAAAGCAGGCCUAUGUGCCUGAAAAUUCUUGCAUGGAAUAAUGAAAUAGGACUUCGGUUCUAUUUUGUUGGUUUUCGGAUCCGAAGUAAUGGUUAAGAGGGACAGACGGGGGCAUUUGUAUGGCGGUGUUAGAGGUGAAAUUCUGGGAUCGCCGCCAGACAAACUACAGCGAAAGCAUUUGCCAAGAAUGUUUUCAUUGAUCAGGAGCGAAAGUCAGAGUUUCGAAGACGAUCAGAUACCGUCGUAGUUCUGACCAUAAACGAUGCCAACUGACGAUCCGCGUUGGUUCUAUAAUUGACAUCGCGGGCAGUCCCCGGGAAACCUUUAAGUCUUUGGGCUCCGGGGGGAGUAUGGUUGCAAAGCUGAAACUUAAAGGAAUUGACGGAAGGGCACCACCAGGAGUGGAGCCUGCGGUUUAAUUCGACUCAACACGGGAAAACUCACCCGGCCCGGACACUGUGAGGAUUGACAGAUUGAUAGCUCUUUCUUGAUUCGGUGGGUGGUGGUGCAUGGCCGUUCUUAGUUGGUGGAGCGAUUUGUCUGGUUAAUU